This 494-nucleotide ribosomal RNA is filed under the name uncultured bacterium. Its description in RNAcentral is "partial 16S ribosomal RNA". It matches the Rfam family "Bacterial small subunit ribosomal RNA", at positions 28 to 507 of the family's 1533-position model. The record is from RNAcentral.
GACGAACGCUGGCGGCGUGCUUAACACAUGCAAGUCGAACGGAAAGGCCUGCUUUCCCUUGUGGAUUGCGGGUACUCGAGUGGCGAACGGGUGAGUAACACGUGAGUGAUCUGCCCCCAACUUGGGUAUAAGCCUGGGAAACUGGGUCUAAUUCCCGAUAGGACUGCAGGGUGGUGCCUGUGGUGGAAAACGAUUUUCUAGUGGUUGGGGAUGAGCUCGCGGCCUAUCAGCUUGUUGGUGGGGUAAUGGCCUACCAAGGCGGCGACGGGUAGCCGGCCUGGGAGGGUGGACGGCCACAUUGGGACUGAGAUACGGCCCAGACGCCUACGGAAGGCAGCAGUGGGGAAUAUUGCACAAUGGGCGGAAGCCUGAUGCAGCGACGCCGCGUGGGGGAUGACGGCCUUCGGGUUGUAAACUCCUUUCGACCGCGAGGAAGCCACCUGGUUGGAAGGGUGGUGACGGUAGUGGUAGAAGAAGCACCGGCUAACUACGUG